CUACGGGACGCACCAGUGGGGAAUCUUGGACAAUGGGCGCAAGCCUGAUCCAGCCAUGCCGCGUGAGUGACGAAGGCCUUAGGGUUGUAAAGCUCUUUUGCCGGGGACGAUAAUGACGGUACCCGGAGAAUAAGUCCCGGCUAACUUCGUGCCAGCAGCCGCGGUAAUACGAAGGGGACUAGCGUUGUUCGGAAUUACUGGGCGUAAAGCGCACGUAGGCGGAUUGGUCAGUCAGGGGUGAAAUCCCGGAGCUCAACUUCGGAACUGCCUUUGAUACAGCCAGUCUAGAAUCCGGUAGAGGUGGGUGGAAUUCCUAGUGUAGAGGUGAAAUUCGUAGAUAUUAGGAAGAACACCGGUGGCGAAGGCGGCCCACUGGACCGGUAUUGACGCUGAGGUGCGAAAGCGUGGGGAGCAAACAGGAUUAGAUACCCCUGUAGUC
This 439-nucleotide ribosomal RNA is filed under the name uncultured bacterium. Its description in RNAcentral is "partial 16S ribosomal RNA". It matches the Rfam family "Bacterial small subunit ribosomal RNA", at positions 339 to 795 of the family's 1533-position model. The record is from RNAcentral.